This 468-nucleotide ribosomal RNA is filed under the name uncultured bacterium. RNAcentral's name for it is "partial 16S ribosomal RNA". It matches the Rfam family "Bacterial small subunit ribosomal RNA", at positions 28 to 507 of the family's 1533-position model. The record is from RNAcentral.
GACGAACGCUGGCGGCGUGCUUAACACAUGCAAGUCGAACGGAAAGGCCCUGCUUUUGUGGGGUGCUCGAGUGGCGAACGGGUGAGUAACACGUGAGUAACCUGCCCUUGACUUUGGGAUAACUUCAGGAAACUGGGGCUAAUACCGGAUAGGAGCUCCUGCUGCAUGGUGGGGGUUGGAAAGUUUCGGCGGUUGGGGAUGGACUCGCGGCUUAUCAGCUUGUUGGUGUGGUAGUGGCUUACCAAGGCUUUGACGGGUAGCCGGCCUGAGAGGGUGACCGGCGACAUUGGGACUGAGAGACGGCCCAGACUCGUACGGGAGGCAGCAGUGGGGAAUAUUGCACAGUGGGCGGAAGCCUGAUGCAGCAACGCCGCGUGCGGGAUGACGGCCUUCGGGGUGUAAACCGCUUUCGCCUGUGACGAAGCGUGAGUGACGGUAAUGGGUAAAGAAGCACCGGCUAACUACGUG